Molecule: ribosomal RNA, 253 nt
Filed under: uncultured bacterium
Lineage: Bacteria
Description: partial 16S ribosomal RNA
Rfam family: Bacterial small subunit ribosomal RNA
Source: RNAcentral
UACGGAGGGUGCAAGCGUUAAUCGGAAUCACUGGGCGUAAAGCGCGCGUAGGCGGCUUUGUCAGUCAGAUGUGAAAGCCCACGGCUCAACCGUGGAAUUGCAUUUGAUACUGCAAGGCUUGAGUUCGGGAGAGGGAGGUAGAAUUCCAUGUGUAGCGGUGAAAUGCGUAGAUAUUGGGAAGAACACCAGUGGCGAAAGCGACUUUCUGGCUAUUUUCUGACGCUGAGGAGCGAAAGCGUGGGGAGCAAACAGG